Molecule: transfer RNA, 61 nt
Filed under: Trinodes hirtus
Lineage: Eukaryota; Metazoa; Arthropoda; Insecta; Coleoptera; Dermestidae
Description: tRNA-Leu
Source: RNAcentral
GUUAUUUUGGCAGAUUAGUGCAAUUGAUUUAGGAUCUUUAAAUGUAAUUUUACAAAUAAUA